This is a non-coding RNA of Pelobates cultripes (western spadefoot toad), 245 nucleotides long. The record is from the annotation of a GenBank genome assembly. Lineage: Eukaryota; Metazoa; Chordata; Amphibia; Anura; Pelobatidae.
GCCAAUCAUGCUUUACAGAGUGAAUCAACUCCACGGUCCAGACCAUCUCCAAAUCAUUUCCCCCUGCAUGGAUAAGAACAGUAAUCAACCCCCACACAAACCUGUUAAAACCUGAUAAACCUCCAUUAAAACCCUCAAUCACUCCUCCAACGAACUCGCGCUAGCUCAAAAAAGAAAAACCAUACGAGCAUGCCUCCGCCCGCCGAGCUGACCUAAAAAUAAACGAGUGUCCCAUAAUCCACAGG